GUCGAGAAUCAUUGUCAAUGGGCGAAAGCCUGAACGUGCGACGCCGCGUGUGGGAUGAAGGCCCUUGGGUUGUAAACCACUGUCAGGGGGAAGGAAUAAGGCUGGCGACACCAGCUGAUGACUUAUACCCCAGAGGAAGUGACGGCUAACUACGUGCCAGCAGCUGCGGUAAUACGUAGGUCACGAACGUUAUUCGGAAUCACUGGGCUUAAAGGGCGCGUAGGCGGCUUAAUAAGUUACGACUGAAAUCCGGCGGCUCACCCGUCGAACUGGCCGUAAUACUGUUGAGCUUGAGGUGCGGAGGGAUGCGUGGAACUUGUGGUGGAGCGGUGAAAUGCCCAGAUAUCACAGGGAACACCGGUGGCGAAGGCGACGCAUUGGCCGCAAUCUGACGCUGAGGCGCGAAAGCAUGGGGAGCGAACGGGAUUAGAAACCCUAGUAGUCC
RNAcentral lists this ribosomal RNA (445 nucleotides) under uncultured bacterium. RNAcentral's name for it is "bacterial SSU rRNA". It matches the Rfam family "Bacterial small subunit ribosomal RNA", at positions 354 to 796 of the family's 1533-position model. The record is from RNAcentral.